RNAcentral lists this ribosomal RNA (253 nucleotides) under uncultured bacterium. RNAcentral describes it as "partial 16S ribosomal RNA". It matches the Rfam family "Bacterial small subunit ribosomal RNA", at positions 524 to 776 of the family's 1533-position model. The record is from RNAcentral.
UACGUAGGGUGCGAGCGUUAAUCGGAAUUACUGGGCGUAAAGCGUGCGCAGGCGGUUUUGUAAGCCAGAUGUGAAAUCCCCGGGCUUAACCUGGGAAUGGCAUUUGGGACUGCAAGGCUGGAGUGUGGCAGAGGAGACUGGAAUUCCUGGUGUAGCAGUGAAAUGCGUAGAUAUCGGAAGGAACAUCAGUGGCGAAAGCGACUUCCUGGACCAAUACUGACGCUCAUGUGCGAAAGCGUGGGGAGCAAACAGG